This 599-nucleotide long non-coding RNA is filed under the name Carica papaya (papaya). RNAcentral describes it as "long non-coding RNA (CPAP_LNC012264)". The record is from RNAcentral. Lineage: Eukaryota; Viridiplantae; Streptophyta; Magnoliopsida; Brassicales; Caricaceae.
AGGACGUCCCAUGUGGCAACGGGCAUUGAUGUGCUGCCACAUGGGAAGCCACGCGGACAAUCCGCGUGCUCGCGAUCGAACGGCCCAGGUCCAUUCCCGCGUGCACGGACGGCCUGGAUGCGCUCCCUCCCAAACGUGAUCGAACGAUCAUAUUCAAAUGCGAUCGGACGGUCCAGAGUGAAUCGCGAUGGAUGAUCCAAAUUCACCUCCUAUUUAAUCACGAUCGAACGGUCCAGAUCAAACGUGAUGGACGAUCCAGAUCAAAAGUGGACAUAUAUAAAUAACCCCUAUCCACAUUAAAUCCUAACCCUAGCCGCCAGACCCCAUCGCCGGAGAAGACGAUGUAGCCACCGGGGAGCAGAUCGUCACCACCCGCUGCCGCACUGGAACCCUUUCUGAUCGCCAAAAAAGAUAAAAACUUCUCCUUUUGUACAAAAUUUCUUUAAGCUCAUCCAUUGCUAAAUCGGAGCAAAAAGACCGGCUAAUUGGCUGAAAAAUGCCGGCGAAACCCGGUGCUGCUGCCGCGAGAAAUUUCACAAAACGCUUCCGAUGAGGCCCUUUCCGAUUCUCAUUUUGUGUAAUUUCUCUACAAUUGUGAU